GGGAUAGCCCAGGGAAACCUGGAUUAAUACCGGAUGAGACGGGACCCGCGAAGGCGGGACCCGGGAAAGGCGCUGCGGCGGCCGCCGGGGGAUGAGUCUGCGUCCCAUUAGCUAGACGGCGGGGUAACGGCCCACCGUGGCGACGAUGGGUAGCCGGCCUGAGAGGGUGGACGGCCACAUUGGAACUGAGACACGGUCCAGACUCCUACGGGAGGCAGCAGCUAAGAAUCUUCCGCAAUGGGCGAAAGCCUGACGGAAGCGACGCCGCGUGAACGAAGAAGGCCGUGAGGUUGUAAAGUUCUUUUCGGGAGGGGGAACAACCGUGGCAGGGAAUGGCCGCGGGAUGACGUGAAUCCCGGAAUAAGCCCCGGCUAACUACGUGCCAGCCGCCGC
This 393-nucleotide ribosomal RNA is filed under the name uncultured bacterium. RNAcentral describes it as "bacterial SSU rRNA". It matches the Rfam family "Bacterial small subunit ribosomal RNA", at positions 140 to 518 of the family's 1533-position model. The record is from RNAcentral.